UACCUGAGUAAAGUGGCGUACGGGUGAGUAACACGUGACUAACCUACCCUGGAGUGGGGGAUAACUGAGGGAAACCUUAGCUAAUACCGCAUAAUACCUACGGGUCAAGGAGCAAUUCGCUUUGGGAGGGGGUCGCGGCCGAUUAGUUAGUUGGCGGGGUAAGAGCCCACCAAGACUGUGAUCGAUAGCCGGCUGAGAGGGCACACGGCACACUGGCACUGAAACACGGGCCAGACUCCUACGGGAGGCAGCAGUGGGGAAUCUUGCACAAUGGGGGAAACCCUGAUGCAGCGACGCCGCGUGAGCGAUGAAGCCCUUCGGGGUGUAAAGCUCUUUCGUCAGGGGAAAGAAUCAAAUUGAACCGGGGGGGUUACCCUGGAGAAGCAGCUGCGGUAACUACGUGCCAGCAGCCGCGGUAAUACGUAGGCAGCAAGCGUUGUUCGGAGUUACUGGGCGUCAAAGGGUGCGUAGGCGGCUAUUCUAAGUUUGGUGUGAACAUCUCCCGGUCCAACCGGGAGGGUGCGCCGAAUACUGAGUGGCUAAGUGCGGGAGGAGG
RNAcentral lists this ribosomal RNA (556 nucleotides) under uncultured bacterium. RNAcentral's name for it is "bacterial SSU rRNA". It matches the Rfam family "Bacterial small subunit ribosomal RNA", at positions 83 to 657 of the family's 1533-position model. The record is from RNAcentral.